UUGCAUGUGGACAUGUCUGCCCCUCCUUUCUUUGGGAGUAGGAAUGUGUCCAUAGCAUGCUACAUUACCUGAGGAGUUUUCAGGGCUACCAACCUUACAGUACAGGUUGGAUAGUAGUAUAAUUCUCCUACAUUA
RNAcentral lists this small nucleolar RNA (135 nucleotides) under Meriones unguiculatus (Mongolian gerbil). Its description in RNAcentral is "Small nucleolar RNA U109 (ENSMUGG00000021681.1)". It matches the Rfam family "Small nucleolar RNA U109". Lineage: Eukaryota; Metazoa; Chordata; Mammalia; Rodentia; Muridae. The record is from RNAcentral.